Molecule: ribosomal RNA, 588 nt
Filed under: Salmonella enterica
Lineage: Bacteria; Pseudomonadati; Pseudomonadota; Gammaproteobacteria; Enterobacterales; Enterobacteriaceae
Also listed under: 1 other name
Description: partial 23S ribosomal RNA
Rfam family: Bacterial large subunit ribosomal RNA
Source: RNAcentral
ACCCUUUAAUGUUUGAUGUUCUAACGUGGACCCGUAAUCCGGGUUGCGGACAGUGUCUGGUGGGUAGUUUGACUGGGGCGGUCUCCUCCUAAAGAGUAACGGAGGAGCACGAAGGUUGGCUAAUCCUGGUCGGACAUCAGGAGGUUAGUGCAAUGGCAUAAGCCAGCUUGACUGCGAGCGUGACGGCGCGAGCAGGUGCGAAAGCAGGUCAUAGUGAUCCGGUGGUUCUGAAUGGAAGGGCCAUCGCUCAACGGAUAAAAGGUACUCCGGGGAUAACAGGCUGAUACCGCCCAAGAGUUCAUAUCGACGGCGGUGUUUGGCACCUCGAUGUCGGCUCAUCACAUCCUGGGGCUGAAGUAGGUCCCAAGGGUAUGGCUGUUCGCCAUUUAAAGUGGUACGCGAGCUGGGUUUAGAACGUCGUGAGACAGUUCGGUCCCUAUCUGCCGUGGGCGCUGGAGAACUGAGGGGGGCUGCUCCUAGUACGAGAGGACCGGAGUGGACGCAUCACUGGUGUUCGGGUUGUCAUGCCAAUGGCACUGCCCGGUAGCUAAAUGCGGAAGAGAUAAGUGCUGAAAGCAUCUAAGCACG